This 585-nucleotide ribosomal RNA is filed under the name uncultured bacterium. RNAcentral describes it as "bacterial SSU rRNA". It matches the Rfam family "Bacterial small subunit ribosomal RNA", at positions 338 to 916 of the family's 1533-position model. The record is from RNAcentral.
CCUACGGGAGGCAGCAGUGGGGAAUUUUUGACAAUGGACGCAAGUCUGAUCCAGCCAUGCCGCGUGCGGGAAGAAGGCCUUCGGGUUGUAAACCGCUUUUGUCAGGGAAGAAAUCUUCUGGGUUAAUACCUCGGGAGGAUGACGGUACCUGAAGAAUAAGCACCGGCUAACUACGUGCCAGCAGCCGCGGUAAUACGUAGGGUGCAAGCGUUAAUCGGAAUUACUGGGCGUAAAGCGUGCGCAGGCGGUUAUGCAAGACAGGUGUGAAAUCCCCGAGCUCAACUUGGGAACUGCACUUGUGACUGCAUAGCUAGAGUACGGUAGAGGGGAGUGGAAUUCCGCGUGUAGCAGUGAAAUGCGUAGAUAUGCGGAGGAACACCGAUGGCGAAGGCAACUCCCUGGACCUGUACUGACGCUCAUGCACGAAAGCGUGGGGAGCAAACAGGAUUAGAUACCCUGGUAGUCCACGCCCUAAACGAUGUCAACUGGUUGUUGGGAGGGUUUCUUCUCAGUAACGUAGCUAACGCGUGAAGUUGACCGCCUGGGGAGUACGGCCACAAGGUUGAAACUCAAAUGAAUUGACGG